AUUUAUUUUUGUGCAAUAUAAUCCGGAAGAUAGCAUUGGCAAUUCUUCUAAUAUAAAUUGUCUCUCGGAUUUUAUGCAAAGAUAUUCAAUGCCAUCUUUAUUCAUAGUCUCUAUAUGA
Molecule: small RNA, 118 nt
Filed under: Arabidopsis thaliana (thale cress)
Lineage: Eukaryota; Viridiplantae; Streptophyta; Magnoliopsida; Brassicales; Brassicaceae
Description: ATSL040870
Source: RNAcentral